Molecule: unclassified non-coding RNA, 315 nt
Filed under: Hevea brasiliensis (rubber tree)
Lineage: Eukaryota; Viridiplantae; Streptophyta; Magnoliopsida; Malpighiales; Euphorbiaceae
Source: RNAcentral
AAAAAAUAAAAUAAAAUUUUUAAAUUCAAUGACAGCUGGAUUAGUCGGGCCUGGUUUUGCUAGCAAAACUUGUUUAUUAAUUGAUUUACAGUCAUAUUCGAGUGACCCAAUUAUCAAUGGGGGUUUAUACAAUUAAUUCCUGUAAAUCCAUAUAUCAGAAUUCCUAAAUCUUAAAAUGACGCAAUGACACGAAUUAUUAACCCUAAUCAAUAUGCUUCCUCUAACUGAGCUAAAAUCAACUCAGAUUUGCAUUUGACAGUGUGUAUCAACUUAUUUCAAAAAGAGUUUUAGGCUACUUGUCAUAAUUAAAAAGUA